RNAcentral lists this ribosomal RNA (776 nucleotides) under uncultured Neocallimastigales. Its description in RNAcentral is "partial large subunit ribosomal RNA". It matches the Rfam family "Eukaryotic large subunit ribosomal RNA", at positions 23 to 634 of the family's 3401-position model. The record is from RNAcentral. Lineage: Eukaryota; Fungi; Neocallimastigomycota; Neocallimastigomycetes; Neocallimastigales.
AGAGAGAGACAUGCGCGCAUAUCAAUAAGCGGAGGAAAAGAAACUAACAAGGAUUCCCUUAGUAACGGCGAGUGAAGCGGGAAGAGCUCAAAUUUGAAAUCUUCAAGGUUUUACCUUGACGAAUUGUAGUUUAAAGAAGUGUUUUCUGCUGAAGUUUUGGUAAAAGUUCUUUGGAAUAGGGACAUCAUAGAGGGUGAGAAUCCCGUAUUUGACCAUUAUUUUCAGCUUUGUGAUACACUUUCAAAGAGUCGGAUUGUUUGGGAAUGCAGUCCAAAAUGGGUGGUAAAUUUCAUCUAAAGCUAAAUAUUGGCGAGAGACCGAUAGCGAACAAGUACCGUGAGGGAAAGAUGAAAAGAACUUUGAAAAGAGAGUUAAACAGUACGUGAAAUUGUCAAAAGGGAAGCGUUUGACACCAGUGUUGUUUUCUCGAAAAUCAAUUAAAAAUGGCUCGAUUUUGUAUUGUUGAGACCUUAAAAGCUCACUGUACAUUUUUCGUGUCUUUUUUAAUGCAUCUUUUCGUUUAACAAGUCAACAUCAGUUUCUUUUGUUGUAAAAGGGUCAUUGGAAGGUGGCUUUCUUUUCGGAGAAAGUGUUUAUAGCCUUUGGCCUCUGCAAUCGGAGAGACUGAGGUCUGCAGCGUAGACUCUUCGGGGUUAGAUACAUUUGUGCUAAGUUAUAGCUUUUUAUAGACAACUUGUUGACUAUAAUUAGUCUUGUAGCUUACUCGCUUAUGCUAUUUUACCUACGCUUAGGAUGUUGAAGAUGUAGCACAUCAU